This 155-nucleotide ribosomal RNA is filed under the name Fusarium sp. RNAcentral's name for it is "partial large subunit ribosomal RNA". The record is from RNAcentral. Lineage: Eukaryota; Fungi; Ascomycota; Sordariomycetes; Hypocreales; Nectriaceae.
CUUUUCCAGUCCAGGCCAGCAUCAGUUUUCCCCGGGGGAUAAAGGCGGCGGGAAUGUGGCUCUCUUCGGGGAGUGUUAUAGCCCACCGUGUAAUACCCUGGGGGGGACUGAGGUUCGCGCAUCUGCAAGGAUGCUGGCGUAAUGGUCAUCAACGA